Long non-coding RNA from Lycium barbarum (goji berry), 2863 nucleotides. RefSeq lists it as uncharacterized. The record is from RefSeq and is a predicted model, not a curated record. The transcript has 6 exons. Lineage: Eukaryota; Viridiplantae; Streptophyta; Magnoliopsida; Solanales; Solanaceae.
AUUUAAUUUAUUUAAACUAUUAAUAAGUGAAGCUUGCAGGUACGACGAAGGGUACUUUUGGAAUAUUGAUAAUAUUUUACGGCCAUUUUGUAUUUAUGUUUCACUGACAGCCCUCUCAUUUCAUCUGUUCUUUCGUUACACGUGUAUUAACUUUUGGGACAACUGGCUUCAAUUCCUUUUCUUACCCGUCCCACAUGGCUUUACCUUCAAGCUGCUGAUUUCCACUGUUCUCUCGCCUUCUUCACUCCUCAUUCUCAACUCAUUGGUUUGAUUAUAUUCUGGUGGAAUCUGCAUGUUGCCGGUAGCUUUUGUAUAUGCAUGUGAUUAUUCUUUCUGAAUAUUCAAUGGAAGCAUUCUGAAUUACCAUUAGGAAAAAACUGAUAAUGAAAGGUGAAGAACUUUGUUGUAGCAAAGGUGGUCCUUCAUGAAAUGUUUAAUUAGGGAAAAGAGACAGCAGAACAGCGAAUCGGGCAGGAGCUAAUGCUUCUGCAUGUGGAAAUAUUUGUUUCGCAUGUCCGUCAUAAAUGUGAGCGUUUUUUGUUUAGUAUGGAAAAUCUAGGAGAUUGAACAGCUUGUUUGCGUGCACUGUUUCAUCUGAGAAGGAAACAUAAAGGGUUGAAAGCCAUGGAAAAGGGAUCUUAGAACCUCAAGGUUUUGGCUGAAUUGGAAGCCAAGAUGUCAAAAAGAAACUACAUGAUCAUGCUUUUCCUGAAAUCCACUCAGGUUGGCUGACCUUUCCAAAGCACUUUCUAUGAUUGAUAGAAGAAAUUAUUUGUUGCACGCAAUGAGUUCUGAAUUUGAUGCUUCUGUCCAAAAUAAAACUUGGACUUUGGUGCCGCCUCCUCCAAAUGCAAAUAUUAUUGGCAACAAAUGGGUAAUUCAGAUUAAGUUUUGUGCAAAUGGUUAUGUUGAAAGAUAUAAAGUUCGUUUAAGGCUGAAACUUCGGAUCCUGCUUGGACGAAACGAAAGAUAUUGUCAAUAAAUAGAAGUACGUUACAUGCAUUAGCUAUGCAGAUGCACAAACUAUCAUGGCCUAUUAGACUUGACGUCCUCCCCAAUGGCCAGUAUUUUAUUCAAGGGGUACUGCAAUGGGAGAAAACAUGCUCCUAUGGUCCGUUGCUUUAUUUUCGUCCAGUGGUGGAAGCUAAGCAGCUCCGGGUAUAUUAAAAUCAGAUAUUACUGGGCGCCGGAUUCAAUCUACUUGCAGCUUGCAAUCCCCUGCUUCAUAAAUUUAGUGUAAAGGUGGUGGUGGAAGUCUCAUUUUCCUCUUAAUUUGAAUAUAGGUACUCAAGACUUAUUUGGCUCUGAUUAGCUUGGAUCUCAAUUUUUUUUUUUUUUUUUGGAUAAAGCCUUGUUAAGAUUUUACCUAUGGUUUACCAGUACUACAUAUGCUCUUCUGUAAAAGUUGAUUAAUCUGGUGAAAAAUCUUAAAGAUUGGAUAUUGUCGUUAUUUGGAGUUGGUACAUUUUUGUUUCUGACUGCAGAUUACUUGAUUACCAUUGAAAACCAUCUAACUGGAAGGUGGAUUAUGCAAUAUUCACAUUAUAUAAGUAUAUUUCAGAUCUAUUAUCUUUGAGAAUAAUUCAUUCGGAAGAAAGAUGCUUUACUAAUUGAAUCUAAUGUUAUAAUUUGUGCUUUUAUAGCAGAACAACUUGGGACAAGAUAAUUCCUCAUGUAGUAUCAUGGUUUACUGGUGAGGCUGCUGAAUAUGAUAAAUCUGAAGAUUUGGAAGAUGUUAUCAAAGAAGAUGGAGAUGAAGAUGAAGACAAGUGGUGAUGGAAAGUUAGGAUUUGUUAUGCCUGCUUUUACAAAGUCAUUUACAAAUCUCCACUUAUCUGAGUGGAGAUGUUUUAGCGAAAAAGGGUUCUUGGAUUUCACACUCUAUUUUCAAGCUGCCCAUUAACAAAAGAGUCAUCAUCGACGUAGUGCUGAUUCUUUGUUUACCAAAUCCAGAAAAGAGAGCUUUCUAACUUCAACCUAAUAAGAAGUCUUAUAUAUGGUUCUCGCACUAGCAUCUCUAGGGUCUGGAGGUACACGUGUUACAAUUGGAUCCAUGCGAUCAUAUCACUUUACAGCCAAAACAUCAAGGAACAUUCUUUAACUGGUACGCAUUUACAUUAUAUACAUCCAUUGUUGUAAGUUCCGCAGCUAUUGUCUACAUUGAGGACAAUAUUAGUUGGAUUUGGGAGUUUCCCAUCUCUUUAGCCCUUAACAUCCUUGCCUUAGUGAUAUUUCUAUCUGGGUGAUUCUAUUGCAUAUUAAAGAACAAGAAGGCAGCCCUCUUAUCAGCAUGGCUCGUGUCACUGUUGCAGCCAUUCGAAAAAAGGAAAAUCCCCUCUUCGAGAAAAGUCAUCAGUACUACCUUCAGGUAAAACCUCUAUACUAAUUCUUUCUUGUGUUUGAGUUAAUACUCAUCCCCAGGGGGCGGAUCUAAGACAUGCUAUAUGGAUUCAACUGAACUUAUUGUUGACGACUCAACCUAUGUACACACAGCUAUGAUCACAAUCAUCAUAAAUCCACCGACUCCAACUCUUCAUUCACCUCUCCUCAUACUCAUUUGCUUGAAGCUCUCUUAUAUAGGUUCCUCAAUCGUGAGGCCUUCAUCACUGGGGGAGACAAUAAAUCAGAUGGCUCUAUUGAGAAUAUACAUGGAGACUCUACAGUCCAACAAGUAGAAGACUUGAAAAGCUUGAUCAAGCUUGUCCCUUUGUGGAGUAGUGAACUAUACUUACAAUAGUUUCAACAGAUUUUGGAAAUUUGUUCCUCGAUGCAUGAGAACUUUAUGAAGUGUUAAUAUAUGUUGUAAACAUUAAUCAACUUGACAGAUGCUUCUUUUUUCAGUUAUUUUUAUUCUUUCUAUUAA